UAUGACAAAAUCUAAUGACGCCAGGGACUUGACGAUGUUGUGAAAUGUCCUCCAGCCACCACUUAUCUACAAGAUUCUGAGAAGUGAAGUCUCCGUCAGGUGUAAUAAUGACACACAGGUGUUUCUCAGUGUUUUCUCUGGUGAUAAUCAGCUGUUUUUAUGCAGUGGUGUCCCCUGAGCAGAAAACUUCCACCUGGAGCGGGUGGUCAGGGUGGACGUCGUGCUCGGUCACGUGUGGUUACGGUCUGAUAUACAGGGAAGCUUACUGGAUCGACAAGAAUGGACAGAGGACGAACAAGACAACUCACGAUAACCAGGGGUGUUACAUCCCUAAAUCCUGUCCCGG
Long non-coding RNA from Saccostrea cuccullata (small rock oyster), 346 nucleotides. RefSeq lists it as uncharacterized. The record is from RefSeq and is a predicted model, not a curated record. The transcript is spliced from 3 exons. NCBI's taxonomy places the organism in Eukaryota, Metazoa, Mollusca, Bivalvia, Ostreida, Ostreidae.